This 253-nucleotide ribosomal RNA is filed under the name uncultured bacterium. Its description in RNAcentral is "partial 16S ribosomal RNA". It matches the Rfam family "Bacterial small subunit ribosomal RNA", at positions 524 to 776 of the family's 1533-position model. The record is from RNAcentral.
GACGGAGGAUGCAAGCGUUAUCCGGAAUGAUUGGGCGUAAAGCGUCCGCAGGUGGCAGUUCAAGUCUGCUGUCAAAGACCGGGGCUUAACUUCGGAAAGGCAGUGGAAACUGAACAGCUAGAGUAUGGUAGGGGCAGAGGGAAUUCCUGGUGUAGCGGUGAAAUGCGUAGAGAUCAGGAGGAACACCGGUGGCGAAGGCGGGUCUCUGGGCUGACACUGACGCUCAUGCACGAAAGCGUGGGGAGCAAACAGG